UGGUGACGCUAUAGUAUAUGUGCAAGUGGUCCAGAUUAAAAAAAAAUUAGGUCAAUCAAAAUAUUUAUACUCUUCCAGAAAAGAACAGUUAUGGCAUUGCAGAAGACAGCUUUGAGUUGCCUGAAUUGCCUACUAUUAUUGCCUUUGAUUUUGAUUUUGUCUAGAAUCAGGGAGGAUUACCAAUCCAAAAUGUACUUUUCUUUUAUAUCAGAAAAAAACACCUAAUUUUUCAUGUUCCAGUAUAGAAACAUAAGUGUCUUAAAAUGUCUGCAUUUAGUUUUUAUCAUGAACUUUAUUCUUUUGUCUAGCUGUGGGUAAAGAAGAUACAUCAUCAUUAACUGAAGUUGUAAAACAAGUUGCAAAACAACAACAAUCACAAACAUCAGAAAUAGAAAGAAACAAAAAAGUUCUGUUUCAUUUACAGGUAACUUAUUUCAUAUAAUCUUUUAAAUGUCUUCAAAAUUUAAUAGUGACAAAAAAUUUUAAAAGAACUUCAUAUUGGGAAUCAAUUUUAAUUACACUAUACUAUCAGUCAACAAAUAUAUGAAAAAAUGUUCAUUAUUGCUAGCAAUUAGAGAAAUUCAAAUCCAAACUACUCUAAGAUAUCAUCUCACUCCAGUUAGAAUGGCAGCUAUUAUGAGACAAACAACAAUAAGUGUUGGCAAGGAUGUAGGGAAAAAGGUAUACUCAUAUACUGCUGGUGGGGCUGCAAAUUGGUGUAGCCAAUAUGGAAAUCAGUAUGGAAAUUUCUUGGAAAAUUGGGAAUGGAACCACCAUUUGAUCCAGCCAUCCCUCUCCUUGGUCUAUACCCAAAGGACUUAAAAACAGCAUAUUACAGGGACACAGCCACCUCAAUGUUUGUAGUAGCGCAAUUCACUAUAGCUAAACUAGGGCCCACUUUCUAUUGAGAAUUUUGCUAAACAUUUUUCUCAACAUUGUCCUUACCCUUGCAUUGCUCAUGAUUUAUUUGGGAAGGAGUCCAAGUAAACAAAUAAUUGCACUCAUGAUGGUAGCAUCAACAAUAGAGGUAGUAGCCCAACAUAUUUAACACUGAAGAAUGAGUGAUUGCAAAAGAAGUGAUUUUUCAAUGUUGGGUAUUAAAAGACAGUUGGAAUUCACUGAUUGAUUGGGUAUCUUGGUCAGGUAUAAGAUUAAGGGAACCUGGGAUAAGGAGGAUGAUAUUCCAGAUUGACAGAAUCUGAGAAAUUCACAGAAGCCUGAAACAGCAUUGUACAUUCAUAGAACCCUAUGUAGUUUGAUAAUGGUAUAGUAUAGAGUAUGUUUUGAGAAGAGGUGGAAGGUAUAUACUAUGAUUAAAAAUUUGGACUUUAUUCUAACAGUGAUGAGAAACCUUUGGUUUUUAAACAAGAAGCAAAUUAAAAAUUGCUUUUAUAUAGAGAGAAUUCUUUUUAAAAAUAUAUAUAAAGUGCUUGUUAUAAUUCAACAUCCAUUCAUGACAAAAAUGUCUCAGAAAAUUAGGAUUAGAAGGGAACUUU
Molecule: long non-coding RNA, 1496 nt
Filed under: Marmota monax (woodchuck)
Lineage: Eukaryota; Metazoa; Chordata; Mammalia; Rodentia; Sciuridae
Source: RNAcentral